GCCCUCCCGAGCCCCGGGGAAAAUGCUUUCCAGCAUUGUCGAGCUUCUGAAAGACAAAACUUGUGAUUUGACACUAGCAUCCAGAAAAGGUUUCUGUCUAGAUUAGCAAAUGCCUAAAUUGUUCUUGGUUACAUCCCAUGACCGGUUUUAGGCAGUGACUUCAUACUGCUUUUAGGAUUUUCUUGUACACUGGUGAGAAAAUAGGCAGGUCUGAUAGUGGUUUCACUUUUUUUCUACUUCACGUUCCAUAAGAUUCUUUUAUCCAAGCGAUUGUUUUAAAAUUCUACUGUAAGCGUUUGUGGUUCACUUUUUUUUUCUUUGCAGCACCCGGGCCUUUUUUUUUUUCUCUAAAUCGGGAGUAAAUAUAGCUGAGUAAAAUUACCUUGGUUAUCUUCCUUCUUUUUAAACUUAAUUGUUUUUAUUAAUAAUUCUAUCUGAAUAUGCAGAAAAAGUGAGUAUGUCCUGUAAUCUAUGCUAGCUUUUCUCGUUUACAGGGUACUCACAAAAUAUGUCUCCCUUAGUGUCCCACAGAAACAUUCUGGGUGCAAUCUGAAUUAAGGUAUGUGUUUUCAAAUAAGUAAUCAGUUUAGAUAUUUGCCUGUGUACCUUUUCCUGUAAUUCAGAGCUUGUGUUCUGUGGGUUUUAUGAUAAACCUGUAAAACAUGUAAGAAUGGUUUUGCAAGUCUGAAUCGUUGAAGGCAGCAAUAAGUGGAUUUAAAGCCUGUUCUUGAGCAGACAAAGGGGAAAAGUGUGACUCUGAUGCUGAACUUGUCAUUUUUCAUUUGACUUGCCUUUAAUUAUUGAAGAAGAGAGAGAACUAGGAAAAGAAAUAGAAUUGAUUAUUGAGCACUCCUAAAAAGCUCACCAUGAUUCUGGGUAGAGCCAAAGUGAAGGAUGAUGGAACAGAGCUCUGUGCAUUAGAAGGAAAUAAACCUGAUGUCCACACAGAGUCUUACUAAUUUCUGUUUUUAAAAUGCAAAAUAAGUUUAGGAAGUGUUGGAAGUUAGUAUUUUGGGAAAGAAAUGGCAGUUCCACAAAACAUUCCAUUCCAUUUAAGAGAGGCCCUUGGACUGAUUCAUGUUGUAACUGCUGUCACUGCAAUCAGUUGGUGGUUCAGCCUUGAAACGUGCACUUGGCCUUCUAUAAAGCACUGUUUUGUUUGCCUUUCAGUGCUAUGAGUCUUGAUAAAUUGGAGAAGUGCCCAAGAGAAAUUCAUCAUCCUGAGAUACAAAAGGUAGGAAGUGACUUUUUCUGGUUUGGUUCUUUUUCUUUAUUGUUUUCUGGAAAUAGAAGUAAUUAAGUAUAGAUACUACUGGUUUGUUUCUUCCAGUAGCUGAUAAUACUAAUACCAAUAAUAAUAAUAAUAAUAAUAGUAAAGUAAUACUACUUCAACUGUCUUUAUUUAUCCAUUGAACUGGCCAUUUUAAAUCUAAACUUCUAAACACAAAUCAAACCAUCAUCCUUGUAGAAUCUUUAAUAGGAGUGGGCUAAAGAUCCUGGUUUUGUUGACAGGAUUUAUUGGUUCAUGAACAGCAAGAGGUAAGUACAAGCCUAACUACCCUCUAGCUCACAGACCUGCCCGGUGAAUAGAGCUUUGUUUUUUUGAUGGGCUUGUGAUGACUUUGAGAUCAAUUGCUCAUUCAUUACAGUAAAAAAAAAAAAAUUGUUUUGAACAUGACAGCAAAAAUAACUUUAAGCACAACUUAAUAAUAAUAAUAGAUCACCAAUUUUAGUUAAUAAUUUUAUGCUAUACUCUUGGGUGAGGGAAGACUCGGACACUCAAUAUGAGAUCAGCAAGCUAUGUUUAUUGCAGAGAGUAUCAGACACUUAUACAGCACAUAAUAAGCUUAUGAAUAUUCUGUAAGCCAAGCGAUCUAUUGGUUAAACUAUACCAUCAACUCUUCCUCAUUCCUUUGGGCCUACAUUCCCUAUUUCCCACGUCUCUCUGUCUACUUGUUAUCCUACCCAGCUAGGCCCAGGCACACGCUAUCUUGCAGGUGCAAAACUCAAAAAUACCUGUGUUCGGUACUUUCCCAGCUCCUGGUCGGCUAACGAGCGAAUGUCUGCGUGACCUCUGUCAUGGAGCCAUUUCUCCACACUAUACUAUCAAAGUUUAAAGGUAAAUUAUUAUAUAUUAGGAGAUGGUGUAAAGUGUAUGUUGUAAUGUGUAGGAUAUAUACAAAGAUACGUACUUGAAAGUCCGUAGAGGAAACAAAUUUUUACGCCUUCUGUUUGACUGUUUGUCAUAUAUUUGGUUUUAUUUCCCAGGGAUCAGUGAAUUUUAACUCUGGAGUCCUCUAUGCUAAGGAUGCUCAGCUUAGAGAUGAUGAAAUGUUCAGUAAUGUAUUUGCUGCAGCUCUGCUUACCCAAGGUUUGGGUAAAACAAGCUUUGGGUUCCCUCUGUCUCACUGGGAGUUGCCCAAUUCAGUUGCAUCUGGUGAAAUUCACCCUGAGACCUUACAGAACCAGCUCCAACUACGUGAGAGCCAUUUGCAGUUCUCUCCAGACACCUGGAGAAUGGGCGACAUUUCUGAGAAUCCGGCGAGCGUGCUUCUAUCAAAACUCAGUCUGUGAAAUUCCUGGGGAAAACCCUUCUGUGUCCUGAAGGGUUCAAACUCUGGUGAGGAUCCAGUUAUCAGGUGCUCACCUGGAUGGUUCCAGCUCUUAAAGUGAACACUUGUACUCUUGCCCUGUAGUUUACAUCUAUUGUAUUUUUGUUAUUUUGCAGGAUUUUUUGUCUUUGCAAAAUAUUGUGCAUUUCACUCUUUGGAACCUCUCAGAUGGUUCUUUGGUGCAGCACCACCCCAGGGGACACUUGCCUGCUGUCCUGAAGGGGUUGGUGGCUAGAAUUGUGAAUCCUGGAGAGUUUAUAAGUCUUCUGUCCCCAGGGAGGUGUCGUGCUUUGUUUACUUUUGUUCUGUUGGUUAGGCGCUGCUUCUCGUUGCAAGUACGAAUUUCAAACUGCCCUGUUCUUAUUUUAACUGUUUUCCUGGUUCUCUCCCUACGGCAGGGAAAGACUCUCGUAUCCUUGUCAUCGGGCUCGGUGCUGUCCAAGAAGAUACAGAGACUAAAAAAAUCAUAAGAAGCAAAAUAUGACUGCAGGGAAAAGAAGCUGGAGAGAACAGAAGACUCAUCACGGCGGGACAGCGUGAGGACUGAAAGUGUAAGAAGAUGUGGAGGGAAACAGAGAAUCUGACAGGAGCAUCGGAGGGACGAGUGCAGGAAUUUUGCUUUUUGCUUGGAUGUAAACUCAGGAGUUGAGAGGAAUUUGGGAGUGAGAAGGGACAUCUCAGAAGGAGAAGAAGAAAAAGAGGUUGUUGUUGUUGUUACAGUCCUGGCAAAAUCUUUUGUUCUAGCUAAUAAAAGAAGUUAGUUUAAAAAACAAAAAGGAAAAAAUGUAGUGUUUUUUUUUUCCUUCACUAUGAUAUUCAUUGGUGGUAUAUGGUGUGUUGUUUCAUUUCUUGGUAUUAUUAACUCUGUGUAAAUUGUUUUUUGAGUGAAGCUGACUUUCUGGAUGGGUUGGUUUGUAUUUGAGGCAGGAUUAAUUUCAGUAGGGUUCUUUCAUAGAUUUCUGAUGGGUAUUACUGGGAUUUUGGUUUUGUUUACUGUAUGUAUGAACCUAGAGCUUUGGUAGGGCCAGCUGGGCUGCUGGAGUUUUGGGUGUGAAUUUAUUAGAUGGCUUUUGUUAGAUGCAGUUUUUAAUUUUUGAAAUGUUUUUCAAUGUAGUGGUUUUAAGGUGGUUUUUAAGAAUUCAUUGUAUUGCUUUAUCUUGUUUGUAGUUGGUGUAUGAUAAGGGAUGUGGUGUGAGUUCUUGAACAUUAUGGUUUUGGUGUUCCUAAGUUCUGAUUUCUUUGUGGUUCAAUAGCUUUUUUUAUUUUUAUUUUUUGGGACAGGGGCAUUUAUAUGGUGGGUUUUUAUAGGCAAUAUGUUUUUUAAUUUAGGUAGUGAUAUUUUUUAAUAUUUUAAUAGUUUAGGUUUUUUAUUUUCA
This is a long non-coding RNA of Melospiza melodia melodia, 3988 nucleotides long. RefSeq lists it as uncharacterized. The transcript is spliced from 3 exons. The record is from RefSeq and is a predicted model, not a curated record. NCBI's taxonomy places the organism in Eukaryota, Metazoa, Chordata, Aves, Passeriformes, Passerellidae.